RNAcentral lists this ribosomal RNA (357 nucleotides) under uncultured bacterium. RNAcentral's name for it is "partial 16S ribosomal RNA". It matches the Rfam family "Bacterial small subunit ribosomal RNA", at positions 338 to 692 of the family's 1533-position model. The record is from RNAcentral.
CCUACGGGUGGCAGCAGUGAGGAAUAUUGGUCAAUGGGCGCGAGCCUGAACCAGCCAAGUAGCGUGAAGGAUGACUGCCCUACGGUUUGUAAAUUUCUUUUAUAAAGGAAUAAAGUGUGGCACGUGUGCCUUUUUGUAUGUACUUUAUGAAUAAGGAUCGGCUAACUCCGUUCCAUCAGCCGCGGUAAUACGGUGGAUCCGAGCGUUGUCCGGAUUUAUUGGGUUUAAAGGGCACGUAGAUGGGUUGUUAAGUCAGUUGGGAAAGUUUGCGGCUCAACCGUAAAAUUGCAAUUGAUACUGGCAGCCUUGAGUCCAGUUGAGGUAGGCGGAAUUCGAGGUGUAGCGGUGAAAUGCUUA